CACCUGAUCGGAUUCAAUCCAUGAAGAUACCAGAAAACUAGUUGAAACAUUAUUGCACCUGGAAGGAGUUGUACGUAGCACAUCGGAAUUGAAUUGAAUUUGUUGUACAUUUCAUCAGCUUGUUGAAAAUGAAAUAAACAUUAUUUUAACAAUCUUGUGUUUUUCUGUCUUCUUGAAUGACUUGAUGAUAUACACUGUACUUUAGCAUCCCAACACCUGCUUUACUUUGCAUCCUCCUCAAUGUAACAAUCCCUAACAUCCCAUAAUGUAGGACAAUACUUUUUCAAGAAUUUAACAUUAAUGGGAUGUUUCUGCCAAUUCCCUUCGAGGUCCGCCAAGUAGUAUCCCCCUUUGUUUAAUACUUGACUAAUUAUGAAAGGACCUUCCCA
This 389-nucleotide long non-coding RNA is filed under the name Malus domestica (apple). RNAcentral's name for it is "long non-coding RNA (MDOM_LNC007731)". The record is from RNAcentral. Lineage: Eukaryota; Viridiplantae; Streptophyta; Magnoliopsida; Rosales; Rosaceae.